GAUGAACGCUGGCGGCGUGCCUAAUACAUGCAAGUCGAACGGAGUACCCGAGUGAGUAAUCAUUUGGAAUUCUUAGUGGCGAACGGGUGAGUAACGCGUUGGUGACCUGCCCCGAAGAGGGGGACAACAGCUCGAAAGGGCUGCUAAUACCCCAUGUGAUCUAACAGGUUAGAGGCUGAUAGAUAAAAGACUUCGGUCGCUUCGGGAGGGGCCUGCGUCCCAUCAGCUAGUUGGUAGGGUAAAGGCCUACCAAGGCAAAGACGGGUAGGGGACCUGAGAGGGUGACCCCCCACAAUGGAACUGAAACACGGUCCAUACACCUACGGGUGGCAGCAGUAGGGAAUAUUGCACAAUGGGCGAAAGCCUGAUGCAGCAACGCCGCGUGCGCGAUGAAGGCCUUCGGGUUGUAAAGCGCUUUUCGGGGAGAUGAGAAAGGACAGUAUCCCCGGAAUAAGGUUCGGCUAACUACGUGCCAGCAGCCGCGGUAAAACGUAGGAAUCGAGCGUUAUCCGAAUUUACUGGGCGUAAAGUGCGUGUAGGCGGUUUGGUAAGUUGGAUGUGAAAGCUCCCGGCUCAACUGGGAGAGGACGUUCAAUACUGUCAGACUAGAGGACGGCAGAGGGAGGUGGAAUUCCCGGUGUAGUGGUGAAAUGCGUAGAUAUCGGGAGGAACACCAGUGGCGAAGGCGGCCUCCUGGGCCGUGCCUGACGCUGAGACGCGAAAGCUAGGGUAGCAAACGGGAUUAGAAACCCCGGUAGUCCUAGCUGUAAACGAUGUAGACUUGGUGUUGGUGGUGUAAAAGUCAUCAGUGCCGAAGCUAACGCGGUAAGUCUACCGCCUGGGGACUACGACCGCAAGGUUAAAACUCAAAGGAAUUGACGG
Molecule: ribosomal RNA, 882 nt
Filed under: uncultured bacterium
Lineage: Bacteria
Description: bacterial SSU rRNA
Rfam family: Bacterial small subunit ribosomal RNA
Source: RNAcentral